AGUGGAAUAGCUGGGUCAAAUGGUGGUUUCAUUCCAAGUUGUCUGAGGAAUCUGCAUAUUGCUUUCCAUAGUGGUUGCAUCAAUUUGCACACCCAACAGCAAU
RNAcentral lists this microRNA precursor (103 nucleotides) under Marmota monax (woodchuck). Lineage: Eukaryota; Metazoa; Chordata; Mammalia; Rodentia; Sciuridae. The record is from RNAcentral.